This 404-nucleotide ribosomal RNA is filed under the name uncultured bacterium. RNAcentral describes it as "bacterial SSU rRNA". It matches the Rfam family "Bacterial small subunit ribosomal RNA", at positions 355 to 775 of the family's 1533-position model. The record is from RNAcentral.
UGAGGAAUAUUGAGCAAUGGGCGAAAGCUUGACUCAGCAACGCCGCGUGGGCGAUGAAGGCCUUCGGGUUGUAAAGCCCUUUUCCAGGGGACGAGAGAGGACUGUACCCUGGGAAUAAGGUUCGGCUAACUACGUGCCAGCAGCCGCGGUAAUACGUAGGAACCGAGCGUUAUCCGGAUUCACUGGGCGUAAAGCGCGUGUAGGCGGUUCUAUAAGUCGGGUGUGAAAGCUCUUGGCUUAACUGAGAGAGGUCGUCCGAUACUAUAGGGCUUGAGGUCGGGAGAGGGACGUGGAAUUCCUGGUGUAGUGGUGGAAUGCGUAGAGAUCGGGAGGAACAUCAGUGGCGAAGGCGACGUCCUGGCCCGCACCUGACGCUCAGACGCGAAAGCGUGGGUAGCGAACGG